CCUACGGGAGGCAGCAGUAAGGAAUAUUGGACAAUGGGCGAAAGCCUGAUCCAGCCAUGCCGCGUGAAGGAUUAAGGUCCUCUGGAUUGUAAACUUCUUUUAUGUGGGACGAAAAAAGGGCAUUCUUGCUCACUUGACGGUACCAUUUGAAUAAGCACCGGCUAACUCCGUGCCAGCAGCCGCGGUAAUACGGAGGGUGCAAGCGUUAUCCGGAUUCACUGGGUUUAAAGGGUGCGUAGGCGGGUAGGUAAGUCAGUGGUGAAAUCUCGAAGCUUAACUUCGAAACUGCCAUUGAUACUAUCUAUCUUGAAUAUUGUGGAGGUUUGCGGAAUAUGUCAUGUAGCGGUGAAAUGCUUAGAUAUGACAUAGAACACCGAUUGCGAAGGCAGCAGGCUACACAUAUAUUGACGCUGAGGCACGAAAGCGUGGGGAUCAAACAGGAUUAGAUACCCUGGUAGUCCACGCCCUAAACGAUGAUUACUCGACAUACGCGAUACACUGUGUGUGUCUGNGNGAAGAGAUAAGUAAUACCUACCGUUGGAGUACGUUCCGCGAAGAGAGAACGACGAAAGGAAGUUAGACGGCGNGAGAGNGCGACGGACGACGACGAGGGAGGUAGG
RNAcentral lists this ribosomal RNA (620 nucleotides) under uncultured bacterium. RNAcentral describes it as "bacterial SSU rRNA". The stretch from base 1 to 536 matches the Rfam family "Bacterial small subunit ribosomal RNA", at positions 338 to 873 of the family's 1533-position model. The record is from RNAcentral.